Molecule: ribosomal RNA, 391 nt
Filed under: uncultured bacterium
Lineage: Bacteria
Description: bacterial SSU rRNA
Rfam family: Bacterial small subunit ribosomal RNA
Source: RNAcentral
GACGAACGCUGGCGGCGUGCUUAACACAUGCAAGUGGAGCGACGAACCGGUCUUCGGACCGGGGCAGAGCCGCGAACGGGUGAGUAACACGUGGGUAACCCACCCCGAUGACCGGGACAACCCGAGGAAACUCGGGCUAAUACCGGAUGAGCUCUCAUCUCUUGAGAGAUGUGAGGAAAGAUAGCUUCGGCCUUCGCAUCGGGACGGGCCCGCGGCCCAUUAGCUUGUUGGUGGGGUAACGGCCACCAAGGCGACGAUGGGUAGCUGGUCUGAGAGGACGAUCAGCCACACUGGGACUGAGACACGGCCCAGACUCCUACGGGAGGCAGCAGGUGGGGAAUCUUGCACAAUGCGCGAAAGCGUGAUGCAGCAACGCCGCGUGGGGGAAGAA